Molecule: ribosomal RNA, 846 nt
Filed under: Escherichia coli
Lineage: Bacteria; Pseudomonadati; Pseudomonadota; Gammaproteobacteria; Enterobacterales; Enterobacteriaceae
Description: partial 23S ribosomal RNA
Rfam family: Bacterial large subunit ribosomal RNA
Source: RNAcentral
UACUAUAGCUUGACACUGAACAUUGAGCCUUGAUGUGUAGGAUAGGUGGGAGGCUUUGAAGUGUGGACGCCAGUCUGCAUGGAGCCGACCUUGAAAUACCACCCUUUAAUGUUUGAUGUUCUAACGUGGACCCGUAAUCCGGGUUGCGGACAGUGUCUGGUGGGUAGUUUGACUGGGGCGGUCUCCUCCUAAAGAGUAACGGAGGAGCACGAAGGUUGGCUAAUCCUGGUCGGACAUCAGGAGGUUAGUGCAAUGGCAUAAGCCAGCUUGACUGCGAGCGUGACGGCGCGAGCAGGUGCGAAAGCAGGUCAUAGUGAUCCGGUGGUUCUGAAUGGAAGGGCCAUCGCUCAACGGAUAAAAGGUACUCCGGGGAUAACAGGCUGAUACCGCCCAAGAGUUCAUAUCGACGGCGGUGUUUGGCACCUCGAUGUCGGCUCAUCACAUCCUGGGGCUGAAGUAGGUCCCAAGGGUAUGGCUGUUCGCCAUUUAAAGUGGUACGCGAGCUGGGUUUAGAACGUCGUGAGACAGUUCGGUCCCUAUCUGCCGUGGGCGCUGGAGAACUGAGGGGGGCUGCUCCUAGUACGAGAGGACCGGAGUGGACGCAUCACUGGUGUUCGGGUUGUCAUGCCAAUGGCACUGCCCGGUAGCUAAAUGCGGAAGAGAUAAGUGCUGAAAGCAUCUAAGCACGAAACUUGCCCCGAGAUGAGUUCUCCCUGACUCCUUGAGAGUCCUGAAGGAACGUUGAAGACGACGACGUUGAUAGGCCGGGUGUGUAAGCGCAGCGAUGCGUUGAGCUAACCGGUACUAAUGAACCGUGAGGCUUAACCUUACAACGCCGAAGCUGUU